RNAcentral lists this ribosomal RNA (697 nucleotides) under Sporothrix luriei. Its description in RNAcentral is "eukaryotic LSU rRNA". It matches the Rfam family "Eukaryotic large subunit ribosomal RNA", at positions 148 to 873 of the family's 3401-position model. Lineage: Eukaryota; Fungi; Ascomycota; Sordariomycetes; Ophiostomatales; Ophiostomataceae. The record is from RNAcentral.
AUUUGGAGAGGAUGCUUCUGGCGCGGCGCCGUCCGAGUUCCUUGGAACAGGACGCCACAGAGGGUGAGAGCCCCGUACGGACGGACGCCUAGCCUCUACGAAGCUCCUUCGACGAGUCGAGUAGUUUGGGAAUGCUGCUCAAAAUGGGAGGUAAAUUUCUUCUAAAGCUAAAUACCGGCCAGAGACCGAUAGCGCACAAGUAGAGUGAUCGAAAGAUGAAAAGCACUUUGAAAAGAGGGUUAAACAGUACGUGAAAUUGUUGAAAGGGAAGCGCCUGUGACCAGACUUGCGCCCCGCGGACCACCCGGCGUUCUCGCCGGUGCACUCCGCUGGGCGCAGGCCAGCAUCGGUUCUCCCAGGGGGACAAAGGCCGCGGGAACGUAGCUCCUUCGGGAGUGUUAUAGCCCGCGGCGGCAUGCCCCUGGGGGGACCGAGGACCGCGCUUCGGCAAGGAUGCUGGCGUAAUGGUCACCAGCGACCCGUCUUGAAACACGGACCAAGGAGUCAAGCAUUGGGGCGAGUGUAUGGGUGCCAAACCCGCACGCGAAAUGAAAGUAAACGCAGGUGAGAGCUUCGGCGCAUCAUCGACCGAUCCUGAUGUCUUCGGAUGGAUUUGAGUAAGAGCCUUACCGCUUGGACCCGAAAGAUGGUGAACUAUGCCUGAAUAGGGUGAAGCCAGAGGAAACUCUGGUGGAGG